CCCCUCUCAGGAUGGCACCUGAAGAGUUUCCGGUACUCUACCAGUCUUGGCUACAGGAGGGAGAGUCAAGCAGAGGCCUACCCAUUCCAUUCCUAGCUUGGGCAGUGGCUAGCAGGUGGAAGGCGAUCUGCUACAAGU
Molecule: small nucleolar RNA, 138 nt
Filed under: Ornithorhynchus anatinus (platypus)
Lineage: Eukaryota; Metazoa; Chordata; Mammalia; Monotremata; Ornithorhynchidae
Source: RNAcentral